Molecule: unclassified non-coding RNA, 316 nt
Filed under: Hevea brasiliensis (rubber tree)
Lineage: Eukaryota; Viridiplantae; Streptophyta; Magnoliopsida; Malpighiales; Euphorbiaceae
Source: RNAcentral
CAGGUUUGAGUGCAUAUGCAAGUGACCCACAGGCUGCAGCAAAUUCUCUCCAUUCCUUGCUUGAUAAAGCAGAAAGUGUAGUGCCCAAAGAGCUGCGAUCGAAAACACCUGUCAGGGUUGGGGCUACUGCAGGCUUGAGGGCGUUGGGACGUGAGGCAUCUGAUAGAAUUUUGGAUGCGGUUAGGGAUCUUAUGAAAGACAGGAGUACCCUGAAAUCUGAGGCAGAUGGAGUAACUGUUCUGGAUGGUUCUCAAGAAGGUUCUUAUGAAUGGGUGACAAUAAAUUACCUUUUAGGAAAAUUGAGUGGACCGUAUUC